GUUUUGGGCUUGACAUUAUGAAGGGACUUGAGAAGCCUCUCCCAGUCUUGACAGCAGGUGGCUUGGCUUCCUCACCUCCUCUAGGAGACGGGGAAGAACCAGCCACUCCUCUGGGAGACACUAUCUGCUGAGAAACCUGUCUUAUCUUCCAGAUCCCCAAGAGCAUGGAGGGUGGCCCAGGCUAUCCCAACACACUUCUCCAGCACCUAUGGUGGAUAGUUGUGGCGUUCAAUGAACCACAGCUCCCAGAAUUCCCACUUUCCUGUGGCCCCUCCCACAUUGACUCUGGGUUGGAUGCGUAGUUUUCUUUAGCCAAUGGGAUGUUAGCAAGCCCGCCACAGGCAGGAUCUUGGUAACUGCUUACAGGAUAGGCUUGUCUUAGAACCCGCCCAUCAAGCUUGUUCACUACAUAAUGUAGAAAGAGGCGCUGAAGGAAUCUAUUUUGGAUAUUUCUCCAGUUUCAACCAAACUUGCAAAUGGAGGGUAGCCAUUAACAGAGGCCAGCUAAGCGACUCAGCUUCGUGAGAAAGAAGAACCCAUUUCAGUUUUGAGUCAGUAUGUUCUGGGUGGCUUACUUGGCAGACACAAGUCUGGACAUAGGAUGGUCACAGUGAAAAUCAAGGCUGAGCAUCUAGCCUGAGCCGGACUGACAGCAUUUCCAGGAGAGCAGGUGGAACAGGGAGGAGCUGGGACAGUGGAGGAUGCAAAAGGCACCCAGUCAUGCCCCAGGAUAAAUAAGACCUCUCACUGUGGAAAUGAACAUGGAGAGAGACGCAUGAACCUAACCUCUGGCUGUUUUGAUUCCAAAAGAAAGAAGGCGAGAAAGAAGCUAGCCCUUCAAGUGUGCUUUAAGAGCAUCGAGCUGAUGGGGAAUGCAUUUCCCACAGCAGAACAGGAUGAGGGGAUUUCGUCCCUGAAGAAUAAAAGGAA
This 930-nucleotide long non-coding RNA is filed under the name Mus spicilegus (steppe mouse). RNAcentral's name for it is "lncRNA (ENSMSIG00000023726.1)". The record is from RNAcentral. Lineage: Eukaryota; Metazoa; Chordata; Mammalia; Rodentia; Muridae.